Non-coding RNA from Camellia sinensis, 1927 nucleotides. Lineage: Eukaryota; Viridiplantae; Streptophyta; Magnoliopsida; Ericales; Theaceae. The record is from RefSeq and is a predicted model, not a curated record.
UGAAGUUGAUCAAACAUCCAUAUUACAAUUCAAAGGAUUCUGAAGAGUGAAGAGUAAUGAUGUGGAGAUGAUCUUUGUUUAUGAAAUGAGUCAAUUAACUCAUAUAAGGCCACUAUAGGACAUCAAUAAUCAAACCUAUUUGGAUAUUUGUCCUGUUUUAAGUUAUUUGGGCAAUGACUUUAUGUUACAGGGCAAUCUUUUGUUUGUAUGUUGUAAUGGCCAGUGCAAUUUGAUGCAUCAAAUUCCAUUUUCUUAUUUAAACGUCUUUUUAAAGGAGCUUGUGUUAUGAUCCCAUCAUCCCACAUCAAAACACAGAGGCCUUGUGAAUACAGGUCUGUUUGGACACCCCCCCUUGCAAGCCGAUUUUCGUGGGUAAGUUCUACCCAUAAGGUUUGUAUCACUUUGUCCAAGGUGUCAAGAGAGAGAACAAGUUUCAGAACAACAAACUGUGUUAAGGCAGCUUGAGGCCAUAUUGUCUAUCCAUAAAUUGGCGAGAGCGGGAUGUCAUUUAGAUGCCCUGAGGGAGGUUGCAAAACUUUAUUUUCUUCCUUUAGAUCCACUAGCGCCUGAUAUUGCAAAUGAUGCGUUCCAAAAUUUGUCAGCCCAUGUCCAAGCUUGUGUGCCAGACGUUUUGAAGGUUGCUCUUCAUUGCUUGGACAAUCUCACAGAUUCAGAUGGAUCACUUCGUGCCCUGAGAACCAAGGUGGAACGCAUCUUGUUCCAGUGGGUCUUGGAGAUGAUGAUCAAUGCAUGGAAGAUGACUUUAUUUCUGAAAGGUUAAUGGAUUUAUCACCAAAUACAAAUUUCUCCAUUCACACCGAUAAAGAGGAUGGCACUCCACUUGGUGGUAGCUCAUUGCUGCCUCCUUUCCCUGCAAAUACUUUGAAUUGCCACUCUUGUAUUUACAUACUAGCUUUCAAUUCAUUGCAUAGAAUACAUAUGUUUUUUUCCCUAGGUUAUAGAAGGUGGAGAAAUUACUCAAUCCAGAAGCUAUAAAGAACUGUUGAUGAUUGGUACAACAUUUGAACAGCUUGUGAAUGCUCACAAAAGUUCAAUUCCAGUCUUGGAUCCUACAAUUGUCAGACUAUAUUGAUUUUCUAAUUAUUGUAUGCUAGUGGCUUAUUAGAUAAUAUAAAUAUUUUUAAAAUUUUUAGUUACUCUCUUAUCGAUUGAUAAAAAUAAAAAAUAAAAGUCAAAGAUCUGUAAAAUUAGGAGUAAAAUGCUGACCAGAUAAAAUCCAAUGGAAAGUAAAGUAUGCAAGUUGUUCUAUAGGAACUCAAUCAAAGAAUCUGACGUGUGAGGUAAAAUCUUAUUGCUUAUUUUGAUGUGUGAUGUGAAAUCUUAAUGUUCAGUUGAUCAAACUGAGCCUAUACUUCAUAGGUGAGUAUUCAAACCAUAGGAACUCAUUCAAAGAAUCUGAUAUGUGCACUACAGGAAACUGAGCCUAUGGCUGACAUGUGUUCUUCAAUCAGGGGCCACAAUAUGUGUGCACUACUUUCUGGACCUUUGUUUACACCAACUGUAGUGGAGUGCAGAAUUCUCACCGGAUGGACGAUUCAUUAUUAGUGCUGAUCGGGAUUUUAAAAUUCGUGUUACCCUGUUUCCAAAGAAGACUUUAGAUGGAGCUCAUGAGAUACAGAGCUUUUGCCUUGGUCAUUCUAAGUAUAUAGACCAAUGAAGACUAACAGUGAACUCUCUCAUCAAUUUGAAUCAAUUUGAGUUAAACACUUCUUUCUCUGUUAAUGUCUUUGUUAAAACAUGAUUUGUGAAUAUGUUAUUUUGUGAUUAAUGGUAAUUGGAUAUUAAAUUGAAUGGGAAAGUGAACUAAUGUUGUAUUUGAUAUUUGAAUAAGAGUUAUUAUUUCAUGUUAGUGUUAUUUUUCAGUUUUUUUAGUUCAAUCACAUAAAAUUAGCAGAAUUUUUUUUUU